Molecule: ribosomal RNA, 963 nt
Filed under: Triticum aestivum (bread wheat)
Lineage: Eukaryota; Viridiplantae; Streptophyta; Magnoliopsida; Poales; Poaceae
Description: partial small subunit ribosomal RNA
Source: RNAcentral
AUGUGUGAGGUGGCUGCUUCUCUUGUUCCUGUUUUGGAAAUUGAUAUGUCCACUAUUCUGAAAGAGAUAAUCAGGGCUAAAGUGGGAGUCAGAGACUUUGGAAAAAUCCCCCAUCAUACUGAGAUUACUGACAAGGACCUGAUCAUAUAUAGAAUCAACAUUGAGUUGGAAGAGGUGAUCGAACAAGGGUGGUAUGAAGAAAAAAGAAAGUUUGAGAACAUGGAAACUGAACUUGAUGGAACAACUAUGGGAGGUCAGAAAAAAAUCAAGAUUGGUGAGUUGGGAGCUGAUGGGAUCAAGGAAAACAUCUCCAUGGGAAGUGUAGGACUCAAAAAAUUUGAGGAGAUGCAACAAAAAAAUGAGGAGAUAUUGAAGAUGCGGAAAGAUUACUUGCUAGAGGUGGGCUUGAGAAAGAAAGUAGAGGUGGAGCUGGAUAAAGUUCUCAAAAAGUUUCAAGAAGUUGAAGAAAUCAAGUGCAGGAAUGAUGCUUGGAAAGCUGUGGACAAAAAAAAGACUGCUAUUUGGGAAACUGAGAAGAGGAGUCUGCAGGAUAUGAUCCAAGGUCAGCAAGAGUUGAUAAACAAGUGCAGGGAAAAAAUUGAUGCUUGGAAAGAGAAAGAGAUCUAUGGAGAAGAUUUAGGUGAGAAAAAUGAGAUGGAAUCUAAAAUAUCCCAGGAUAACACACCUGAAGAUGCUUAUGUAGAACCUGUGAAUUACUCAGCUAGUCAAGAUUCAGUGGAAUCUCUAGGCACAAAAUUAGGAAUUCACAAGAAGGAGGAGGGAGACAAGGAUAAAUAUAAAGAGGGACCUGCUAGAAGAAGUGAUAGAAACCUGGAUAAAAAAGAUGCUAAAAUAGAAGACCUGGCCAAGGAAAGGGCGGCUGAAAAAGACAAUUAUGAAAAGGUGCCCAGGGGAAAGAAUGUUGAUGCUGGGAGAAAAACUCAUCAUGCAAGUAGCAAGUGA